UACGGAGGGUGCAAGCGUUGUUCGGAAUUACUGGGCGUAAAGGGCGCGUAGGUGGUUGUGUGUGUCAGAUGUGAAAUCCCGAGGCUCAACCUCGGAACUGCAUCUGAAACUGCAUGACUCGAGUACAGCAGAGGGAAACGGAAUUCCUGGUGUAGAGGUGAAAUUCGUAGAUAUCAGGAGGAACACCGGUGGCGAAGGCGGUUUCCUGGGCUGAUACUGACACUGAGGCGCGAAAGCGUGGGGAGCAAAC
RNAcentral lists this ribosomal RNA (250 nucleotides) under uncultured bacterium. RNAcentral describes it as "partial 16S ribosomal RNA". It matches the Rfam family "Bacterial small subunit ribosomal RNA", at positions 524 to 773 of the family's 1533-position model. The record is from RNAcentral.